UUUCCAGAGAUGGACUGGUGCCUUCGGGAACUGUGAGACAGGUGCUGCAUGGCUGUCGUCAGCUCGUGUUGUGAAAUGUUGGGUUAAGUCCCGCAACGAGCGCAACCCUUAUCCUUUGUUGCCAGCGGUCCGGCCGGGAACUCAAAGGAGACUGCCAGUGAUAAACUGGAGGAAGGUGGGGAUGACGUCAAGUCAUCAUGGCCCUUACGACCAGGGCUACACACGUGCUACAAUGGCGCAUACAAAGAGAAGCGACCUCGCGAGAGCAAGCGGACCUCAUAAAGUGCGUCGUAGUCCGGAUUGGAGUCUGCAACUCGACUCCAUGAAGUCGGAAUCGCUAGUAAUCGUGGAUCAGAAUGCCACGGUGAAUACGUUCCCGGGCCUUGUACACACCGCCCGUCACACCAUGGGAGUGGGUUGCAAAAGAAGUAGGUAGCUUAACCUUCGGGAGGGCGCUUACCACUUUGUGAUUCAUGACUGGGGUGAAGUCGUAACAAGGUAACCGUAGGGGAACCUGCGGUUGGAUCACCUCCUUACCUUAAAGAA
RNAcentral lists this ribosomal RNA (546 nucleotides) under Salmonella enterica. RNAcentral's name for it is "bacterial SSU rRNA". It matches the Rfam family "Bacterial small subunit ribosomal RNA", at positions 997 to 1533 of the family's 1533-position model. Lineage: Bacteria; Pseudomonadati; Pseudomonadota; Gammaproteobacteria; Enterobacterales; Enterobacteriaceae. The record is from RNAcentral.